GACGAACGCUGGCGGCGUGCUUAACACAUGCAAGUCGAACGGAAAGGCCCUGCUUUUGUGGGGUGCUCGAGUGGCGAACGGGUGAGUAACACGUGAGUAACCUGCCCUUGACUUUGGGAUAACUUCAGGAAACUGGGGCGAUUACCGGAUAGGAGCUCCUGCUGCAUGGGGUGGGUUGGAAAGAUUCGGCGGUUGGGGCUAGACUCGCGGCUUAUCAGCUUGUUGGUGGGGUAGUGGCGUACCAAGGCUUUGACGGGUAGCCGGCAUGAGAGGGUGACCAGCCACCUUGGGACUGAGAUACGGCGCAGACUCCAACGGGAGGCAGCAGUGGGGAAUAUUGCACAAUGGGCGGAAGCCUGAUGCAGCAACGCCGCGUGCGUGAUGACGGCCUUCGGGUUGUAAACCGCUUUCGCCUGUGACGAAGCGUGAGUGACGGUAAUGGGUAAAGAAGCACCGGCUAACUACGUG
Molecule: ribosomal RNA, 468 nt
Filed under: uncultured bacterium
Lineage: Bacteria
Description: partial 16S ribosomal RNA
Rfam family: Bacterial small subunit ribosomal RNA
Source: RNAcentral